Molecule: long non-coding RNA, 874 nt
Organism: Cavia porcellus (domestic guinea pig)
Lineage: Eukaryota; Metazoa; Chordata; Mammalia; Rodentia; Caviidae
Exons: 2
Source: RefSeq, a predicted model, not a curated record
AGGGGGCUUAAACCCGGCUGCCGCAGGCUGGGACCUGGGUCUCCCUCCGGACGGUGGUGCCCUAGACCCCACCGGACCCCGCUGGACCCCGCUGGACCCCCUACAGGGACCCGGUCUGGUUACAGGCCCAUAGAUUUUAACAGGACAGGGUCCGGCUGAAGACCAUUUCUAUUAAAACGAGGUGGACGCGAAAGGGGCGGCUGCUCUUCUCCACACUCCGGGAAACAGAAGCACCGUGUCCCCGCAAGGCCCCGAAGGCCCCACGCGCCGGUCACCCCGGAAACGCAUCCGGGGCUGGGCCCGGCUCGCAGGUUCGCGGUGAGACGCUGCCCCCUGCCGGCCGCGCGCGGCGCUCCCGGAGCUGGGGAGCUAGCUCCUCCCGGAAACCCGGUGCUCGGCGCUGUGCUGCUUUGGUGGAAGAGGCGGCAGGACCAGGACCCCGCGCCGGCCUCAGGCCUCGGAGCCCAGCAUCUCCAGGAGGUCUGAGGGAAGAGCCUCGUCAGCGGGGUGGGCACCAGGCACGGGGGUAGGCAUCAGACAUCAGGGUGCAUCGGGCAUCAUCAGGUGGCACAGGGUGUCAGGGUGCAUCGGGAAUCAGGUGUGCCUAGGACAUCAUCGGGGGACACAAAGCAUCAGGGAACAUCGAACACCAUCAGGUGUACACCGGGCAUCAUCAGUAACAGAACGGUUUGUUUCAGAAGGGAACAGAUAAAAAGGGAUCCUGUAUUUCCAACUGCCUGCUGGCAGGGACCCACAGAGCAGACCUGUCAAUAACGCACUGUCACUGCCUUCCACGAGCAUGGCCUUAGCUUCUGGGUGUGUGUUUCUGCUGUAUCUCGCCCACUUCACUGCUACCUCCUUAGAAACAAACCUU